GAUGAACGCUGGCGGCGUGCCUAAUACAUGCAAGUAGAACGCUGAAGCUUGGUGCUUGCACCGAGCGGGUGAGGUGAGAACGGGUGAGUAACGCGUAGGUAACCUGCUUGGUAGCGGGGGAUAACCAGGGGAAACGAUAGCUAAUACCGCAUAACAGUAGAUAGUGCAGGAGAGCUGGUUGAAAGGUGCAAAUGCAUCACGACCAGACGGACCUGCGUUGUAUUAGGUUGGUGGUGAGGUAACGGCUCACCUAGGCGGCGAUGCAUAGCCGACCUGAGAGGGUGGUUGGCCGCCCUGGGACUGUGACCGGGCCCAGUGUCCUUCGGGUAGCAGCCAGAGGGCAUCGUCGGCCAUGGGUGGAACCCUUACCGAGCAACGCCGCGGGCGGGUAGAAGGAUUUCGGGUCGUAAAUGUCUGUUGUCGGGGAAGAACGAGUUUGAGAGUGUAAAGUUCACACUGUGACGGUAUCUUACCAGAAAGCACCGGCUAACUACGUG
This 497-nucleotide ribosomal RNA is filed under the name uncultured bacterium. RNAcentral describes it as "partial 16S ribosomal RNA". It matches the Rfam family "Bacterial small subunit ribosomal RNA", at positions 28 to 507 of the family's 1533-position model. The record is from RNAcentral.